GGGCUCGUAGCUCAGCUUGGCUGGAGCGUUCGACUGAUAAUCGAAAGGUCAUGAGUUCGAAUCUCAUCGGGCCCACCA
This 78-nucleotide transfer RNA is filed under the name Candidatus Nitrosopumilus sp. RNAcentral describes it as "Nitrosopumilus sp. tRNA-Ile". It matches the Rfam family "tRNA". Rfam says of the family: Transfer RNA (tRNA) molecules are approximately 80 nucleotides in length. Lineage: Archaea; Thermoproteati; Nitrososphaerota; Nitrososphaeria; Nitrosopumilales; Nitrosopumilaceae. RNAcentral also lists the same sequence under 3 other names. The record is from RNAcentral.